ACACUCUACACACCCACUUCCCCCCACAAUCCAGUGAUGUCUUUUUGUCUUUUGGUUCACUGCCUCAAGGGCCCCUCAGAAGGGCCCCCUCCAGCUGACCUCUGCUCUAAACCGUGUGCCUUGCACCUGCCACACGAGAACAGAAGCUCAGCAACUGCUGCCUCAACAAAUGGGAGAACUGAAGUGUGUGGACACUGACCAGGGCCUCUUUAUGUGACUCAAUGGGCAAAAGUAGGAUGCUGCCAGCUGCUUUCUGUCUCAAGGCUCAACCUACUCUUGGAAACCUAAGUCACGACUUCAACACGAUCCACGGCUAGUUGCUGACUCUCUGCUCAGCGCACCUUGGACGGGAGUAUGCAGAGAGAUCCGAUUUCUGGCGCGUGUGGGAGCGAGCGAACAGAAAGUUCCUGGAUGUGUCCUCAGCGUUUGGGCUGAACUUGGAAGAGGCUGUGCGGGUUCCCCUGGCGGUGGACAAAGCAAGGUGGGAGCGAUGAACCGAGGGACCUGGGGGACAUGCAGGUUGCUUGUGGGAUACGCAACGCUAGUGUUUCUCAAAGUGGGGUUCUCCAAGCAGGUCACCUGGGCUGCUUAAAUGCAGACCCAAUAGGGAGCUGGACCAGGGCUCCCCAGGCUCCCCUGUGCGCUAACAUCCCCCAGAGGGCUCCAUGAACACACCCGCCUGGCUCCACCCCCAGAGCAGGUCUAGGGUGGGACCAAGACUUUGCCUUUCUCCUGAGGUCCCGUGUGCCACUGACACUGGGGCUGGGCACAGCACGAAACUCACAGCCCCACCGCAGGUGCUCUGCUCCUCCGCAGCGUGGACACAGGGGCCGCUCGUUCUGCAUCGGGCCGUCCCGGGCACUGCAGGUGCUGAGCGGUGGCCCUGCCUCCACCACCCCACGCCAGGUGCUCUCCCCCUGUGGUUGUGACAGCCACAAGUUCCCUAGACACUGCCGAGGGCGCCCUUCCUGCCCAGGUGAGACCCGCUGCCUUGACCUGAAGAAGCCUGCCCACCCUCCAGCCUCGCCUCCAGCCUUCCCCGCGGGUAGCUGCUCUCUCAUCGCUGAUAUUUGUGAUUUUUGGGGGUGUGAUUUCUGGGAGCUGACAGUGGAUAACGGCUGAACCUGAACUUCACCCCUACAAAUAUUGGUUCUUCCAGACUGGAGGGGGGAAGGGUGGGCACCUAAGGGAGGGCUGACACUCCUCCGGGCACUGAGACGAC
This is a non-coding RNA of Microcebus murinus (gray mouse lemur), 1222 nucleotides long. Lineage: Eukaryota; Metazoa; Chordata; Mammalia; Primates; Cheirogaleidae. The record is from RefSeq and is a predicted model, not a curated record.